This 1409-nucleotide long non-coding RNA is filed under the name Olea europaea subsp. europaea. Lineage: Eukaryota; Viridiplantae; Streptophyta; Magnoliopsida; Lamiales; Oleaceae. The record is from RNAcentral.
UUUUAAGCUCUAUUCUUCUGCAAAGUGUACAAUUCGACAUCUUUCUCUUCCUCUUAAUUUUUUGGAGUUAGGUCUUUUGUUUUGUUGGGUCUAAUAUUCAUCAUGACAAAAUCGAAACAGAUACCCGACGUUUUCCCUGUGCUUGCCGCUUCACAUAAGACACCCAUAUCCAAAUCAAGAGAGGCAAUAACAAGGACUCUCCAUUCUGAGCUUGUUUACAAUUACUUGGGCUCGAAACAUGUAAGAAGCGUUUUCCUUAGCUCAUCAUGGUUUUGAUAUAUAAAUUUUCUAUGGUGUUGCUGCUGGUGUACCAGAUAUCAGAAUCUUUGAAAAGAUGGUAUAUCUGACAAUUCAAGUUACAUCCUUGUGGCUCAUUUUGGCGCUUCUACUGAUGAGGUGAGGUCAUCGCUUUAAUAUUCUGGAUUAAGUUCAACUCUCUAAUUUUGAUAGCGAUCGUCAGAUAGCAAAAAUCAGAAAAAUGCAAAGCAAACACAGAUUUAUAUCGGUUCUAUUCUACAUCCCAAAAAUCAGAAAAAUGCAAAGCAGACACUUCACUCUCAAUAUGAGAGCUACGUCCCUUCGCUCCUGCUAGUUUUCACUAAAAAUGAGAAGUUCACAAUAUAGUUCUCUGUCCCCUCUUCUAUAUCUUUAUAUAAAAGAACAGCCUGUAAGUUCCUUCACGUACAGGAGGCAAUUAAGGCAAACAUAAUACGAUAUGAAUGCCAAUAUGUCCAUAUAAUUAAAAAAUAAAAACAAAAAUUGCCGUCAAGGUUACAGGUGAACAGUAUAAUUAGGAUCCCACACUGUCCAACAUCAUGAACUAUAUAGAGAUGGUGUAUUUUGUUACUCUCCAAAUAUUCUACUUACUAAAAGAGCUAGGAAUCUUUUAUUGUUUGACCAGGUAACAGCCAUAAAGUAACUUACCAAGGGAGCAGAAAUUGGCUUGUAGGAAUUGCAAGGACGAGCAAACAAAGCCCAGAUACAAAAGGUCGCUCAUCUCUCUCUCUCACGUGCCCUUUUGCUUCUUUUCUCUAAUCUACAUAUGUUUUCUGUGGCGACUUUCGUUUUUUUUUUUCUUUUAAACCAGCACGAUAAAAUACCAGCCUUGGAGUUGGGAAUAUCGUCACUUUCAGAUGCUAUAACAUGGAGGAUUGCAGCUCGAGAUGCCUUGUGAAGGGAAUCAGUCCCUCUUUGUUUUGUUAAUUUGCGCUUUGUAAAACGAGUUUUUCCCUGUUUGUCAUUUUGCUUUUAAUUAAAUCAAGGGAUAUAUACAAUGUUAUUUAUGUGAUUUUUCCAGUGUAAAUUUGUCGUGGUACAGAGGUGAACAUAAUUGGAGUUUGAAGUUGUGCACUUGUUGAGUUUCAUACUAUAAAAUGUUAUAAUCAGGCCUUAUAUGCAUGUUUGACUAA